RNAcentral lists this long non-coding RNA (210 nucleotides) under Elaeis guineensis (African oil palm). RNAcentral describes it as "long non-coding RNA (EGUI_LNC047041)". Lineage: Eukaryota; Viridiplantae; Streptophyta; Magnoliopsida; Arecales; Arecaceae. The record is from RNAcentral.
AGAAAACUAAAGGAUACUACUUCUACCUCACUGCAGAGUAAAAAAAUAUUUGUCAGCAGUCGAACAGUCUUUUUGAAAAAGAAGUUUCAUGGUUAAGGUCUAAUGCUUGUAAAAUUGAACUUGAUGAAGUUCAUAAGGUGGGAGGACUGACACACAGAAUUGAAUUUGAUUGGUGAAUCAAAUUUAGAGCCAAUAGAGGCAUCAUUAACG